Molecule: ribosomal RNA, 550 nt
Filed under: uncultured bacterium
Lineage: Bacteria
Description: bacterial SSU rRNA
Rfam family: Bacterial small subunit ribosomal RNA
Source: RNAcentral
UAGGGAAUCUUCCACAAUGGACGCAAGUCUGAUGGAGCAACGCCGCGUGAGUGAAGAAGGUCUUCGGGUCGUAAAACUCUGUUGUUAGAGAAGAACACGAGUGAGAGUAACUGUUCAUUCGAUGACGGUAUCUAACCAGCAAGUCACGGCUAACUACGUGCCAGCAGCCGCGGUAAUACGUAGGUGGCAAGCGUUGUCCGGAUUUAUUGGGCGUAAAGGGAACGCAGGCGGUCUUUUAAGUCUGAUGUGAAAGCCUUCGGCUUAACCGGAGUAGUGCAUUGGAAACUGGAAGACUUGAGUGCAGAAGAGGAGAGUGGAACUCCAUGUGUAGCGGUGAAAUGCGUAGAUAUAUGGAAGAACACCAGUGGCGAAAGCGGCUCUCUGGUCUGUAACUGACGCUGAGGUUCGAAAGCGUGGGUAGCAAACAGGAUUAGAUACCCUGGUAGUCCACGCCGUAAACGAUGAAUGCUAGGUGUUGGAGGGUUUCCACCCUUCAGUGCCGCAGCUAACGCAAUAAGCAUUCCGCCUGGGGAGUACGACCGCAAGGUUG